Hemicordylus capensis (graceful crag lizard) is the source of this 902-nucleotide long non-coding RNA. RefSeq lists it as uncharacterized. The transcript has 3 exons. Lineage: Eukaryota; Metazoa; Chordata; Lepidosauria; Squamata; Cordylidae. The record is from RefSeq and is a predicted model, not a curated record.
UGCCUGCCUCCCUCCCCGCCGCUACAUGCAGGCUUUAAUCGUUCUCAGUUACUCCAGCCUCUUCCUGUGCCGGCAGAAAAGCAAACCCCGCUACAACACUACUCGCUGGUGUGGGGGAAAUCUGAAUGGGCGCCGGCUGUGGGGAUCAGCGGAGAAGGCGCCUCCAAGGCACUGGAGCGCCCCCAGCACAUUUUGGCAGCUAAUGGGGAGAGGGGAGGCGCCUUCCAUUCCCUGCGCCAGGGAAAAUGGUUAAAUCCGUCACUUUCUGUUCAGAUUGACUAUAGGAGGAGGCCCACUGAGAGACCUUAAAGGCCAAGUUGAAGACAGAUCAUCCUGGAAAGAAUCUGUCUAUGUGGUCGCUAAGAGUCGACACCGACUUGACAGCACUUAAUCAAUCAAUCAAUAGAAGGAGGAUUCCGUGGCUCCUUCCGAGGGCUCCCUCCCUCGUCCCCGCAUUUUUAUUUCUUUUUUUUUUUCUUUUUCUUUUUUUUGGUGUACGUGAUUCCCAUUGGGACAAAGUUCUAAUCAACAAAACAAAGGAAUACUAGAUAGAAUACAACGCGGAACUCUAGAAAAGAUACAUACUUGAAGGGUUCACAGGUCUGAGGUCGGGAGCAGAGCUGAGGUUCCUUAUAUCGGUUAACGAGAGGGACUCUUGUGGUUGAUAGAGGGGUGCUUCCAGAGCCAAGGCCAGAGGAGUGUGUGGCGAAUGAUGUGCAACCCUAACUCCUCGAGGUCCAGGCACUGAGGGAGGAGAUCUGUGCCAUGAGAAGUAGCCUCCAUGAUGACGACACUCCCUUCCCACUCAUCAUAAUUAGAACCAGUCAGAUGCAAUGCUCUGAUUCAGUAUAUGGCAGCUUACUAUGGUCCUAUGUACUAGAAAGCAAGUUCCUAAUAAAUUC